Molecule: ribosomal RNA, 415 nt
Filed under: uncultured microorganism
Description: bacterial SSU rRNA
Rfam family: Bacterial small subunit ribosomal RNA
Source: RNAcentral
GAGUUUGAUCGUGGCUCAGAACGAACGCUGGCGGCGGGCCUCAUACAUGCAAGUCGAGCGCGAAAGUCCGCAAGGAUGAGUAAAGCGGCGCACGGGUGAGUAACAUGUGGAUAAUCUACCCUUUGGAUUGGAAUAACCUGUCGAAAGACGGGCUAAUGCCGAGUAAGCUCUCGGGAGCGUGAAGCUCUUGCGAGGAAAGAUGGCGCAAGCUAUCGCCGAUGGAUGAGUCUGCGUCCCAUUAGUUAGUUGGUGAGGUAACAGCUUACCAAGACGAUGAUGGGUACCUGGUCUGAGAGGAUGAUCAGGCACACUGGAACUGAAACACGGUCCAGACUCCUACGGGAGGCAGCAGUAGGGAAUAUUGCGCAAUGGACGAAAGUCUGACGCAGCCACGCCGCGUGAGUGAGGAAGGCCG